AGAACGAACGCUGGCGGCAGGCCUAACACAUGCAAGUCGAACGCCCUAGCAAUAGGGAGUGGCAGACGGGUGAGUAACGCGUGGGAACCUUCCCAAUGGUACGGAAUAGCCCAGGGAAACUUGGAGUAAUACCGUAUAAUACCCGCAAGGGGAAAGAUUUAUCGCCAUUGGAUGGGCCCGCGUCGGAUUAGCUAGUUGGUGAGGUAAUGGCUCACCAAGGCGACGAUCCGUAGCUGGUCUGAGAGGAUGAUCAGCCACACUGGGACUGAGACACGGCCCAGACUCCACGGGAGCAGCAGGUGGGAAUAGUGGGCAAGUGGGCGCAAGCCUGACCCAGCCAUCGCCGCGUGAGUGACGACGGCCGUUAGGGUGUAAGUCGUUCGUUUUGGGCGGGACGAUAACGUGACCGGUACCGCAGAACUACGCCCCGCUUAACC
This 437-nucleotide ribosomal RNA is filed under the name uncultured soil bacterium. RNAcentral's name for it is "bacterial SSU rRNA". It matches the Rfam family "Bacterial small subunit ribosomal RNA", at positions 26 to 502 of the family's 1533-position model. The record is from RNAcentral.